Non-coding RNA from Misgurnus anguillicaudatus (oriental weatherfish), 1363 nucleotides. NCBI's taxonomy places the organism in Eukaryota, Metazoa, Chordata, Actinopteri, Cypriniformes, Cobitidae. The record is from RefSeq and is a predicted model, not a curated record.
CAGACACGUCUGCAACGAUUUAGUUUAUAUAUUAUUAUAAAUACUACCUUUUCCACAUUGAAAUGAUGAUACGUUGCGUUGUAACGGGAUGUUCAACCAAAACCGGGAAAGGACAAGCAGUAAGUUUUCAUCAUUUGCCGCGGUGUAAACAAUGGCUGCGGGCUAUCAACCACGCAAAGUUCAGAGAAGACAACGAUGCGGUAAAAUUGAAAUACCUGAGGGUUUGCAGUCUCCAUUUCAAGCUGGAAGAUAUCGAACCCAAUGUACUCGGAAUGAAGCGAAACACGCUAAAGGACACUGCGAUUCCGUCUAUAUGUACCUUCACAGACACGACGAACAGCCGGGGCCAUCUGGCAUCAAACGCAUUCGUCUACGUUAGAGGUUUCCGGAAGAAGAUGCAGGAGAAGGGGAAAAAAGAACAAUGAAAUCCUCCUUGCAUGGACCAGGUCUGUCAUAAAUCAUAUGUGGUUUUCCUGUGCAACCAGUAAGGGGGACGUCGAGGAGAAGCACGGUUCAACCAAAUGUUCUGCAAGAAAUCCAAGCAGUGGGUCUUGAAGAAAAGCUUCAUACCACACACCACACAGUUUGUAGACGAACUCAUCCAGAAGGCCAUUGACAAGACUCAAUCCAAACAUUGUGUUCAAAGUGCCAACCUCCUCACUUGCCCUGCCACAGCCUGCGCUGCCACCCAACAUUGCACCAGUGCCUAAACCAUCAAAGGAGGCUGCCACGACUUUUCAAAAGUCGCUUCUGAGACUGACACUUUCUAAUAAUAAUAAUAAUCACCUCUUCCCCGAGUCCUAUUGCUGUAUCUAAUCAGAUUCUGCUGCCACCACUCUUUAUAUUUAUAUUAUUAUAUACUGUGUGUAUAUAUACACAAUGUUUUUGUAUAUAUUUUUGCUUUGUUUUUAUUUUGUGCAGGACAUUUUUAGAUGUAAAUUAUGUCAUUGUUUAUUUUAAUGUGUUCUUUUCACUGGUGACACAAUAUUUUUCCUUUGUGAAUAAUAGAAAAUAAAUAUCUUCAUCUAACUCUGUCUUUUGUACACCAAAUUUAUACAUUAGACUUGUAGAGGCGCAAUGAUUACUGUUACUGUGAUUUAGCUGUCAUUACUUACUUUACAAAGUCAUUUGGGUUAAAAAUAAAGCCAAAUAUUAUGUUUGUUACACAAUUUAGACUUAAACUUUUAAAAAAAGGCAAGAAUGCUUUCCUCAAAUUGCAGUCACUCUAAUGUAGCAGCAAUAAGGACUAUAACGCGAACCACAAUCAAUGUGAGUUUUAACUUUUUAUUAAAAAACAUAAACAAUUCACACUUAUAGCUCAUCCAGAGCUUCAUCCGUUUAUUUAUAGUCGCUAUAAUGUCCG